This 68-nucleotide transfer RNA is filed under the name Amycolatopsis sp. A133. Its description in RNAcentral is "tRNA-Ala". Lineage: Bacteria; Bacillati; Actinomycetota; Actinomycetes; Pseudonocardiales; Pseudonocardiaceae. The record is from RNAcentral.
GCAGGUCAGGGCGAUGAUCGACCCUCACUGGCAGUGAGGGGGUCAGGGGUUCGAGUCCCUUAGCUCCA